Molecule: ribosomal RNA, 399 nt
Filed under: Triticum aestivum (bread wheat)
Lineage: Eukaryota; Viridiplantae; Streptophyta; Magnoliopsida; Poales; Poaceae
Description: partial small subunit ribosomal RNA
Source: RNAcentral
AUGGUCCCUACCGCCGGCGCGCGCGCCACCGCCACCACCUCCUGCAGGCGCCAUGGUCCAUGCCGCCGGCACGCGUGCCACCGCCACCACCUCCCACAGCCGCCGCGGCCCCCGCCGCCGGUGUGCGCCCUGCCAUCUCCACCUCCCAGAGCCUCCAUGGCCCUGUCGCCGGGGAGCGCCCCGCCACAACCACUGCCGUUGGACGCCGUCGCCGUGCCCCCCGCACGCCAGUGGCUCCGAGACCUCGUCGGACAUGACCGUGGCAUCCCUGAACUGCCAAGCGCCGCCCAACACCCGGCUUCUUCCCCUGACCACUGUCGGCCUCCUACCCCGGGCAAACCCCUUCUCUUCCUUCCGGGCGCAACCAUGAUCUCCUUUUUAGUUCAAAAUGAGCUCUAG